UACCUUCCUAUCUAGAGUCAUGUUCUUAGAAAGUUGUAGCUACUUCAUGUCAUGUCUAAUCACCUUCCUCCAGUGUUUCUUUGGCUUACCUCUACUCCUCCUAAAGACAUCUAGUGCUAGCUUCUCACACCUACGAACUAGGCAUCUGCAUCCUUCUUAUCGCAUGCCCAAACCGUCUCAGCCUUCCUUUCCGUAUCUUGUCCUCCACCGAAGCCACUCCCACCUUCUCCCAGAUAAUC
Molecule: long non-coding RNA, 239 nt
Filed under: Capsicum annuum
Lineage: Eukaryota; Viridiplantae; Streptophyta; Magnoliopsida; Solanales; Solanaceae
Description: long non-coding RNA (CANN_LNC012078)
Source: RNAcentral